This is a non-coding RNA of Camellia sinensis, 427 nucleotides long. The record is from RefSeq and is a predicted model, not a curated record. Lineage: Eukaryota; Viridiplantae; Streptophyta; Magnoliopsida; Ericales; Theaceae.
UAGUGUCAACACCAACUCUGUGUUUCCAUAUAUAUGUAAAGAAGAUUAGGGUUACCUCAUUUUUGUUUCAUUUUCUCACAGCUAGAGUGGCCUCACUAUCUCACUCAGGGCGGCGGGCCUCCCAGCGGUGACGCUCAAAGACCAAAGUGGUUCACUUGCCAGCACAACUUUGUUCCUAGUGGGCUGUUCUCCACAUGGUUUUGUUGAUUUUGGGUUGGCGGACUCACAGAUGAACUCCUUGUAGCAUUCAAUCAAUAGUUAAAUUCAUUAUAGUUUGGUUUGUCAUUGAUUUCUUUAAAAGCAUGAUUAGUUCAACAGAUUAAUUAAGCUUCUUGCUUGAUUGACCUUAUUCUAAAUCAUGGGUUUAUACAUCAAAUUGCAUUUUUAGUUUGUUCAUCAUUGGCUUUUGCCAAAAAAAAAAAAAAAA